Long non-coding RNA from Daucus carota subsp. sativus, 2062 nucleotides. RefSeq lists it as uncharacterized. NCBI's taxonomy places the organism in Eukaryota, Viridiplantae, Streptophyta, Magnoliopsida, Apiales, Apiaceae. The transcript has 7 exons. The record is from RefSeq and is a predicted model, not a curated record.
AAAAGAAAAAAAAAAGAAGAGAGUCACUGGCUACGUGGUUGUAAAGUGGGUAUCGAGGGUAUUCAACAGUUAAUAAGAAAACAAAUAGAUAUAGUAAAAACAAAAGCCCACACGUAUACACAGACAGAGUCGGUGGUUUCGGAGGAGAAAAGAAAAGGGAUUAGGGUUUGAGAAUUCAAUCGAGCGACUACAUCGAAUCAGGUGAGGAUUUGAGCCUUGUCCAUAUGUAAUUAUGUCAGUGUUUAUCUGCUUGCCAUUCGUAUAUAUGUAUUGUUGUGUGUUGACGGAGAUGAUUGGGGGCGUACGGUGGUCGGAGGCUGAGAGGCGGCGGCGAUUUCGCCGGAAGUUGGAAGUUGAGUUUUGAGGAUUGAUUGGCAUCGUUCGGAGUCGAAGGGAGGCGCUGGGUUGUAGACGAAACGACGUCCAGGGGUUGGGGAGACGCAGCAGCGGCAAUGGUUCGCCGGUGGGUUUCGGCGGAUGGAUGGGGCGGCGACUCCGUGGUAUGGAGGUCAGUUCGUAGGGGUUCCGAUCGGGAAAGACAGGGCCAUAUGCAGUCGCCAGCGUGGCUGUGUUCCACAUCCUUUUCAGGCUGAGAAAAGCGUGGUUAGAGAGAGAGAUAUGAGAUGAUUUCCGGAGAAGGUGGGAGGUGGUUGCUGGUGCCAAACCCGAAGGAGGCUGCCGGGUUUGGGUUUUGAAGAAAACUAAAAGAAAAUAUUCAAGAGUUGAUAGUGACUCCAGGUUCUAAAGCGAAUACCAGUUAGAGUACAACAAAAGCUAGCAACUAUAGUACGCACGAAGCAAACCGCACGUAAGUCGACCACUGGUUACGCCGAGAACUGUUUGAGGGUGAAGGUAGUUAUAUAUGAAGGAAGAUUUGGCUGCAAGUUGGACAGGAACAGUUGUGCGUUCUCCAAGAGGGGUCAAGUCAUCCUCUGCAUUUGGUGAUCAGAAGUACAUUUGCUUCAGCAGAGUAUGCUUUCACCACUGGACAGCUCUUAUAGGAGAACUGGGAGUGCUAAUUCGAUGCCGAGAGUUUGGGGAAAAGAAGUAUAGGCUGAAAGAAAUUAUUGAUUCAAAGGUUAUUAAUUUCGUUGACCAUUGACACAUGCUUCUGCAAUUCGGCCGCCAGUGCAGUACUUCACUGAGAAACAAUUCUGAUGCCCUGAUCACCUUUUUAUCAUUAAUUCAGGUAAAUACUCUGGAUAGACUAACCCAUGAUCCUCACUUGCUUACAAAAUCAUAUAAUAAAUAUAUUACAAUAAACAAUAGGAAACAGAAGCUGAAUUAUUUGGCCACACAAAAACAGUCCUUCACAAAAAGAUAAAUGCAGUCUAUCUUUUUGUGGCAAUUUAAGUCUAGCACUCGCACUAACUUUAUGCAGCGUUGCCAAUAAAUCUCCACUGGAAGGGUGGACAUCUAGAGUGAAUUUUUGUGAUAAGCUUCACGUUCCAGUAUGUUCUAACGCUUGGCCUGUAUUUUGUUUUAAGUUUACUAUUUCCAAUCCCUUGCAGCUUCCCUUAAAGUGUUCUGUGAAUUAUUAACAGGUUAGAGUUGCUACAGUUGAAAAGUAGACAUGCCUUUUUGAUCCUUAUCUAUCUGUACUGAAGGUAUCAUUUGAACAUAGGGGAAGCUAUCACUCUGCAGACAAUGUGGAGUCUGGACAAUUCAGUUUUCAGGCAGUGGCAUCGGCUUGCUUGCUUUUUUGCUGUCGAACAUAAGCCUGCUACUGCAGACUGUUUAUUUUGAACGGAAGUCUGGUAUUGAUGCUAAAGAUUAGACUAAUGUUGAGAAAAAAGGCUCAGUCAAUGAUGAAGAUGAAGCUUGAAGAAUCGAGUGUUGUUGAAGGAAAGCUUGUUAUCUUGAAUAAAUUAUUAUAAAGAUAUGUGAGGUUACUAGUUAAUAUAGUUUGUUAUAUUUCAUCCGGUCUCUACGUUUCUCAUUGUUUGUUAAUUAGGAUAUCAUAGACUUAGUAUGCACAAGACACUAAUGUAUGGAUAUAUUUCUUUUGGAUGUUGUAUAACAACUUGUACAUAAUACAAUGUAUUGAUUAAUUCCCAUUUAA